Molecule: non-coding RNA, 2430 nt
Organism: Aegilops tauschii subsp. strangulata
Lineage: Eukaryota; Viridiplantae; Streptophyta; Magnoliopsida; Poales; Poaceae
Source: RefSeq, a predicted model, not a curated record
UUUAACCCAUAGUCCAAGCCCAUCUAAACCCUAAUCCCCAUUCUCUCCUCUGUUCCCUCUGCCGCCGCCACAACUGCCCACUCCCGAUUCCGGCGAUUCCAGCGGCUACAGCCGGCGCGGUGCACACCGCGGAGCUCGCCUCGCUUGGGUCCAUCCUCCCCUCCGGCAAGAUUUUCCCUUCCCAGCCUCUACCGCUCGCCCAAAACCCACACCCGUCCUAGGGUUUCGGCCUCUGACAUCUCCUUCAUCGUCGACGCAUCUCCGGCGGCUCUUCUCCGUCGUCUACAGCGCCCCACGCGCGACCUCGCUUCCUGAUGGUCAACCUCGAGCAGGGCAGCCUGGAGGACCCCCGCCCGCAGGAUCUACGGACGCGGCGCACCCUGCAGACGCCUGUCCUGGACGAGGGCGGCCACGGGGGCCUUGUCCUGCUCAACGACGGCCGCGGCGAAUGCCAGUGCUCCUCCUCCUUCUCGACCUCCAAGGAGGGGCGCCGGUACAGCACAAGCACGUCCAGCCCCUGAACCCACCUUCUGCACCCAUCCAGCGGCGUACAUGGCAUGCUCCUCCUUGAUUCAGUCGUCCCUGGAGGAGGUGGAGCAGGAAGUCCAGCACCCCCCUUGGCCUCCUAUCAUCCAGCCAUGGACGAGCUCAAUGAUGGCUGCGUCCUGCCCUCCUAGCGUGGUGAGCUUCUCCCAUCUCCCACCUUUACGCCCAAAUCUGGAUGAUACUUGCAAUCUGAAUAUGAAUCAUGUUUUUAUUCAGUUUAGGGGUGGAUUCAGUUGCUGAGAUGAACAUGUGAGCUUGAUUAGUAACCGAUGGUUUUGUGGAUCUGGUGCUCUUGCACUGUUACACAUAAUUUAAUCAAGAUCUUUUUGGAGUUAAUCUAGAAACUCAAGCUUGUUAGAUAUAACUCAGCCGCGACUCUGUAUCUUGCCAGGAUGGACUUGUUUUGCAGAUGUUUGGCUGCCACUAGGAUUUUGAGGUCAAAUCUGUACCAGAACCAAAAUGAGCAUGACAGUGUACCAGCACUCAGAACUAAGAAAUUGUCAGUCGUUGUGUAUUGCAUUUAUCUUUUCGUUUGGAUGCCAAAAAUUAUCUUCUUUGUGGCUUGAUUAACUUCCCUUUCUUCUGUUCAAGCCAUUUUGAAUGAGAUUACUACCAAUGACAAAUAGUAUGGAAGGCGAAACAACAAUUUACUAUAAUUACAUUGCCUUCACUUCAUCUAUAAUGUCACCAUCAACUGUUUCUAUGUUACCUUGCAGAUUCAUUCAACAGAAGACACUUGUAAUAUUGUGCAAAUAAUUAGCUAGCAUUGUGAAAAAUCCUAUUUCUCAAAAAAAGUUAAGAGUGUGAUAUUUAGUUGAGAUAUGACAUAUCAAUGCUAAUAUAUUAGGACGUGCUAAUUUUGUAGUUCCUAGCUAAAUAUGUAAGGGCAUGUAAUGUUCGUAACAUAUUGAAGUGUGAUACUACACAAUAUUUGUUUUAUCUUUGGUUGGACUAUUUUUAUGUGUGUAAUAGUACAAAAAAAUUGAGUGACUUCUACUUGAUCCAAUCCUUUAUUAGAAGUAGUAGUAUCUUACAAAUGUCUUUUUAGCUAGAUUAGUCGUAAGCCACAUAUGCCAGAUCUUUUUCAUGUGGAAUAUCAUAUCAGAUAGGACACAUAAUCCAUCAAGACAUAAUCAUCAUGGAAUUGGUCCAUUCCUUUUUUUCCUUUUGAGAAACAAUGCCUAGAAAUUUUCAUUAAUGUGCAAUAUUCAGCUGGGCUGCAUUUCUUAUCGAGUUUACUGUAGUGAUAGUGUAAAUUAAGCACAACAGAGUUUACUACCAACUCUAUUGAUCUAUGUUUGCUCAUCAUUCCUUUUUGUUGCCACCGGUUGUCCCUUUUGAGACUUUUGUUAAUUUGUUGCACUACUUUUGCAUCCUGGGAGUGAAAGAACGUAUAACUUGAUAAUGUGUAGCAAGCUACUUGUAGUUUAACCCACUAGUUGUAAUAUUUUAUAACUUGACAUAUUUUUCAUCAUGUGGCAGAUAUUAGUAUGGGAGCAGUUUCGAGAACAAAGACAUGCGUUUUGACAACAUUUUGGCAUGGACGGGUUGAUUUGCUGCUAUAAGUGUUGGAUGACCCCUAAUUGGUGUGUGGCAGCCUGACAAGAGUGGCGUGGCCUUGGUUGAUGGGGGUGGUGCUGGCUGCAGAGUAGCAUAGUGUUCUCCAAUACAUGCUUGUAAAUUAAUGUUUUUUGGGUCUUUUAUUUGCGCUCCUGUAUAAUGUGUACUUUUGGAUAUGUUGUAAUUUUUUUCUGAUGACAUGAGCAUAUACUUUUUGUCAAAUUCUUAUUGGCUUAAAUUUUCAUGGAAAAUUUGAGAUCUCCUGGACUGAAAUUAGUGGGCGUUGAAAUUAAUGGGCUUAAAUAAUAAUUGGGUUGAUUUCUA